Molecule: ribosomal RNA, 1517 nt
Filed under: Enterococcus durans
Lineage: Bacteria; Bacillati; Bacillota; Bacilli; Lactobacillales; Enterococcaceae
Description: bacterial SSU rRNA
Rfam family: Bacterial small subunit ribosomal RNA
Source: RNAcentral
GUGGAUGACGCAGCUAUACAUGCAGUCGUACGCUUCUUUUUCCACCGGAGCUUGCUCCACCGGAAAAAGAAGAGUGGCGAACGGGUGAGUAACACGUGGGUAACCUGCCCAUCAGAAGGGGAUAACACUUGGAAACAGGUGCUAAUACCGUAUAACAAUCGAAACCGCAUGGUUUUGAUUUGAAAGGCGCUUUCGGGUGUCGCUGAUGGAUGGACCCGCGGUGCAUUAGCUAGUUGGUGAGGUAACGGCUCACCAAGGCCACGAUGCAUAGCCGACCUGAGAGGGUGAUCGGCCACAUUGGGACUGAGACACGGCCCAAACUCCUACGGGAGGCAGCAGUAGGGAAUCUUCGGCAAUGGACGAAAGUCUGACCGAGCAACGCCGCGUGAGUGAAGAAGGUUUUCGGAUCGUAAAACUCUGUUGUUAGAGAAGAACAAGGAUGAGAGUAACUGUUCAUCCCUUGACGGUAUCUAACCAGAAAGCCACGGCUAACUACGUGCCAGCAGCCGCGGUAAUACGUAGGUGGCAAGCGUUGUCCGGAUUUAUUGGGCGUAAAGCGAGCGCAGGCGGUUUCUUAAGUCUGAUGUGAAAGCCCCCGGCUCAACCGGGGAGGGUCAUUGGAAACUGGGAGACUUGAGUGCAGAAGAGGAGGAGACUUGAGUGCAGAAGAGGAGAGUGGAAUUUCCAUGUGUAGCGGUGAAAUGCGUAGAUAUAUGGAGGAACACCAGUGGCGAAGGCGGCUCUCUGGUCUGUAACUGACGCUGAGGCUCGAAAGCGUGGGGAGCAAACAGGAUUAGAUACCCUGGUAGUCCACGCCGUAAACGAUGAGUGCUAAGUGUUGGAGGGUUUCCGCCCUUCAGUGCUGCAGCUAACGCAUUAAGCACUCCGCCUGGGGAGUACGACCGCAAGGUUGAAACUCAAAGGAAUUGACGGGGGCCCGCACAAGCGGUGGAGCAUGUGGUUUAAUUCGAAGCAACGCGAAGAACCUUACCAGGUCUUGACAUCCUUUGACCACUCUAGAGAUAGAGCUUCCCCUUCGGGGGCAAAGUGACAGGUGGUGCAUGGUUGUCGUCAGCUCGUGUCGUGAGAUGUUGGGUUAAGUCCCGCAACGAGCGCAACCCUUAUUGUUAGUUGCCAUCAUUCAGUUGGGCACUCUAGCAAGACUGCCGGUGACAAACCGGAGGAAGGUGGGGAUGACGUCAAAUCAUCAUGCCCCUUAUGACCUGGGCUACACACGUGCUACAAUGGGAAGUACAACGAGUCGCGAAGUCGCGAGGCUAAGCUAAUCUCUUAAAGCUUCUCUCAGUUCGGAUUGUAGGCUGCAACUCGCCUACAUGAAGCCGGAAUCGCUAGUAAUCGCGGAUCAGCACGCCGCGGUGAAUACGUUCCCGGGCCUUGUACACACCGCCCGUCACACCACGAGAGUUUGUAACACCCGAAGUCGGUGAGGUAACCUUUUGGAGCCAGCCGCCUAAGGUGGGAUAGAUGAUUGGGGUGAAGUCGAUCAAGAGCUCGCG